This 402-nucleotide ribosomal RNA is filed under the name uncultured bacterium. Its description in RNAcentral is "partial 16S ribosomal RNA". It matches the Rfam family "Bacterial small subunit ribosomal RNA", at positions 355 to 774 of the family's 1533-position model. The record is from RNAcentral.
UUGGGAAUCUUGGACAAUGGGGGAAACCCUGAUCCAGCCAUGCCGCGUGAGUGAUGAAGGCCUUCGGGUUGUAAAACUCUUUCGACGGGGACGAUAAUGACGGUACCCGUAGAAGAAGCUCCGGCUAACUUCGUGCCAGCAGCCGCGGUAAUACGAAGGGGGCUAGCGUUGUUCGGAAUUACUGGGCGUAAAGCGCGCGCAGGCGGUUUUCCAAGUCAGUGGUGAAAGCCCGGAGCUCAACUCCGGAACUGCCAUUGAAACUGUUGAACUUGAGGACGAGAGAGGUGAGUGGAAUUCCCAGUGUAGAGGUGAAAUUCGUAGAUAUUGGGAAGAACACCAGUGGCGAAGGCGGCUCACUGGCUCGUUUCUGACGCUCAGGCGCGAUAGCGUGGGGAUCAAACA